GCACGCAUUAAAAAAAGAAGAAACAAAAUUUGAAAUUAAAAAAACAAAGAUUGGACGUACGCACCCAAGUCUCCUAACCACUCACGGCCCCCACGCCAGACUUCCUCUCUCACAUUUUUUACAAGCCGAUCUCACAUCCUUUUCUUUUCUCUUGCAUUUUCUUGUAUUUGCUGCAGCCGGGUCCUACCUCUCAUUAACUGAUGCUCUUUCGUCUUUCCUCAACCUUGUUCUCGCACGCACGAUGGACGGAAGACGUUGCCGCCACCGCUUCUUCGGAGUUAGGAAACGCCGCCGCAACCGGCUGUUUCUUCGAC
RNAcentral lists this unclassified non-coding RNA (314 nucleotides) under Zea mays. RNAcentral describes it as "misc RNA Zm00001eb308300". Lineage: Eukaryota; Viridiplantae; Streptophyta; Magnoliopsida; Poales; Poaceae. The record is from RNAcentral.